This 352-nucleotide ribosomal RNA is filed under the name uncultured bacterium. RNAcentral describes it as "bacterial SSU rRNA". It matches the Rfam family "Bacterial small subunit ribosomal RNA", at positions 917 to 1269 of the family's 1533-position model. The record is from RNAcentral.
GGGCCCGCACAAGCGGUGGAGUAUGUGGUUUAAUUCGAUGCAACGCGAAGAACCUUACCAGGGUUUGACAUCCUGCGAAUCUCUUGGAAACGAGAGAGUGCCUUCGGGAACGCAGUGACAGGUGGUGCAUGGCUGUCGUCAGCUCGUGUCGUGAGAUGUUGGGUUAAGUCCCGCAACGAGCGCAACCCUUACCUUUAGUUGCCAGCACAUUAUGGUGGGAACUCUAGAGGAACUGCCUUCGUAAGGAGGAGGAAGGUGGGGAUGACGUCAAAUCAUCACGGCCCUUACGUCCUGGGCUACACACGUGCUACAAUGGCCGGUACAGAGAGCAGCCACUUGGUGACAAGGAGCU